UACGUAGGGUGCGAGCGUUAAUCGGAAUUACUGGGCGUAAAGCGUGCGCAGGCGGUUCUCCAAGUCCGUUGUGAAAGCCCCGGGCUCAACCUGGGAAUGGCAGUGGAAACUAGGGGACUGGAAUCUGGCAGAGGGGGGUGGAAUGCCGCGUGUAGCAGUGAAAUGCGUAGAGAUGCGGCGGAACACCGAUGGCGAAGGCAGCCCCCUGGGCUGAGAUUGACGCUCAGGUACGAAAGCGUGGGGAGCAAACAGG
Molecule: ribosomal RNA, 253 nt
Filed under: uncultured bacterium
Lineage: Bacteria
Description: partial 16S ribosomal RNA
Rfam family: Bacterial small subunit ribosomal RNA
Source: RNAcentral